Molecule: ribosomal RNA, 402 nt
Filed under: Azadinium dalianense
Lineage: Eukaryota; Dinophyceae; Gonyaulacales; Amphidomataceae
Description: partial small subunit ribosomal RNA
Rfam family: Eukaryotic small subunit ribosomal RNA
Source: RNAcentral
GCUUGUCUCAAAGAUUAAGCCAUGCAUGUCUAAGUAUAGUACCUUAUACUGCGAAACUGCGAAUGGCUCAUUAAAUCAGUUAUAAUUCAUUUGAUGGUACUUACUACUCGGAUAACCGUAGUAAUUCUAGAGCUAAUACAUGCACCCGUGCCCGACUUUGUGGAAGGGUUGUGUUUAUUAGUUACAGAACCAGCCCAGGCUCUGCCUGGUCUUGUGGUGAUUCAUAAUAACCGAACGAAUCGUAUGGCAUCAGCUGGCGAUGAAUCAUUCAAGUUUCUGACCUAUCAGCUUCCGACGGUAGGGUAUUGGCCUACCGUGGCAAUGACGGGUAACGGAGAAUUAGGGUUCGAUUCCGGAGAGGGAGCCUGAGAAACGGCUACCACAUCUAAGGAAGGCAGCAGG